AACCGGACUGGGCUGCGCGCGGAGCCCCCUCUUCCCGUGCACAGUGCGGGGCGAGGCUUGGCGAGCGGUGGGUCUGCGCCUUCCCAAGAAGAGACUGGGGCAGCAUGAAUGUGCUGGAAGAUUAGAGGCUGCUGAUGCUGAAGGAAGGAGAAACGAGGAGGAAGUGUCCCUGUGGACAAGUCAUCUCCCUUCAUUUAAGCCAGGGAAGGCUGGGAGGUAUGAAUUUGAAGCUGGACACGUUGCUGCUCCCCUUAAAGUUUGGAUUAUUUUACUAAAGAAGAAGAGAACAGGUACUGUGUAAUUAAUUGGCAGGAGGAGUUUGCUGCCAUAAACACUUGAUGUGUGAAUCCACGCUAGUUCCCUAGCUUCUAAGCCUCAGUUUACUCAUCUGUCACCUGGGAAAAAAUAUUUGCUCGUUCCUCACUAUUAUAUCAGGAAUGAAUUGUGAAGAUAAAAUGAAAUAGUUCACGUAAAGUGCCCAUUAUAGUUCUGGGCACAUAAAUGUUAAGAAAUGGUAAUUUAAGAAUUAAGGCAUGAAAAUAUGUUCAGCUUUACUAGAGACUGGGGGAAUGCAAACUAAAAUGCCAACAAGAUGUAAUUUUUCUUUCCUUUCCAAAUGACAAAAAUUAA
Molecule: long non-coding RNA, 630 nt
Organism: Homo sapiens (human)
Lineage: Eukaryota; Metazoa; Chordata; Mammalia; Primates; Hominidae
Product: long intergenic non-protein coding RNA 237
Source: Ensembl